Molecule: ribosomal RNA, 44 nt
Filed under: uncultured Corticiales
Lineage: Eukaryota; Fungi; Basidiomycota; Agaricomycetes
Description: partial 28S ribosomal RNA
Source: RNAcentral
GACCUCAAAUCAGGUAGGACUACCCGCUGAACUUGAGCAUAUCA